This 497-nucleotide ribosomal RNA is filed under the name uncultured bacterium. Its description in RNAcentral is "partial 16S ribosomal RNA". It matches the Rfam family "Bacterial small subunit ribosomal RNA", at positions 28 to 507 of the family's 1533-position model. The record is from RNAcentral.
GAUGAACGCUGGCGGCGUGCCUAAUACAUGCCAGUCGAGCGAACAGAUGAGGAGCUUGCUCCUCUGACGUUAGCGGCGGACGGGUGAGUAACACGUGGAUAACCUACCUAUAAGACUGGGAUAACUUCGGGAAACCGGAGCUAAUACCGGAUAAUAUAUUGAACUGCAUGGUUCAAUAGUGAAAGACGGUUUUGCUGUCACUUAUAGAUGGAUCCGCGCCGCAUUAGCUAGUUGGUAAGGUAACGGCUUACCAAGGCAACGAUGCGUAGCCGACCUGAGAGGGUGAUCGGCCACACUGGAACUGAGACACGGUCCAGACUCCUACGGGAGGCAGCAGUAGGGAAUCUUCCGCAAUGGGCGAAAGCCUGACGGAGCAACGCCGCGUGAGUGAUGAAGGUCUUCGGAUCGUAAAACUCUGUUAUUAGGGAAGAACAAAUGUGUAAGUAACUAUGCACGUCUUGACGGUACCUAAUCAGAAAGCCACGGCUAACCACGUG